Molecule: unclassified non-coding RNA, 18393 nt
Filed under: Lytechinus variegatus (green sea urchin)
Lineage: Eukaryota; Metazoa; Echinodermata; Echinoidea; Temnopleuroida; Toxopneustidae
Description: mucin-17-like, transcript variant X3
Source: RNAcentral
CGAGGGUAAUGAGAGUUUUCUUUUUUGUGGAACAGUUUCCAUUGUAUCGAAGAAUUCCAUCUUUCAAACUAGUGCUGUCGCCUCGCUACGGACGAACGCACUCACCGCUGUCGGUUCCAGCUCGAUCAUCAUCCAUCCUCUCCGCCAGGACCACCUUCAAGACUCAUCAACAGUGGUUCCAAGACGCCUUUCUUGAUACAGACGCGACUUCGGCGACCUGACUGAAGCCGUUGGGACUGCAUCGCCACUUCUUUUUUCUCUCAUCCCUCGAUGGAUAUGCAAUAAUUUUCUGAAAUAUUAUAUAUUAAGUUAUCCUCUAAGGAGUAUUUCACCCUCUGAGAGGGGAAUUUAUUGACAUUUAUUAUGUCCAUUGACUUGCUAAAAAUGGAUUUCAAGAUGUUACUGAGCCUCCUGGGCUGUUUGAUUUUGGUGCAUUUAACGUCAGCACAAGAAUGUGCCGUGAAUCAAUGUUCAGCCGGUCUCAACUGCUACGACAGAAAUGUGGCUGGGGAGUUACCGUAUGUCUGUGAAUGUAACGUGCCUUUUACGCAAGGCGUUGAAUGUGAUCAGUUUGCGGACAACCAGGAAGUGUUUACGUGUUAUGGAGAUUCCUGUAGAACUGGGAGCUUCAGCUCCAUCAAUUACCCUGGCCUCUACAACAACAGGUACAGGGCCCUAUACCUUCUGUACGUCCCUGGCGCCACCAGCGUUACAUUCUCCUUCAGUGACCUAUUCGACAUUGAGGAAUUCAAGGAUGAACUCUACGUCGGUGCCGGAUUGAUGUACGAGGACACCCAGAUAAACGCUGAAACAGUUCUUCCCGAUCUCUACUUCUUCGAGGGUUCAACCAAGCCCGAUGAUUUCACCAUCGCUGGCGAUGUGUUCUGGAUGUACUUUGGAACUGAUAAAAACAUUCAGAGGAAUGGCUUUGAGAUCUCCUGGUCUGCUGUUGUCGAUACCACCCCACCCGUUUUCGCCAACUGCCCCGAGAACAUUAAUGUGAAUGUCGAGAUCGGAACCCCGAGCACCACUGUGACCUGGACCGUUCCCACGGCCAUAGAUGCAAGCGCUGUCACCACGGUCUCCAGCCACAACCCCGGACAGAGCUUCAUCACAGGGACUACCACAACGGUCGUCUACACUGCCACUGACGAGUUUGGAAACAUCGGGCAGUGUGCAUUUACCAUUACUGUCACAGCAACUGAUAGCAUUGACCCCGUUGUCACCGUAUCCAGUGGUAUCAUCACCCAGCAAGUUGAGAUUGGGCUCGGAGGCGUGAACGUAUUUUACACCGAGCCGACGGCCACCGAUAACUCCGGCACCGCCGUACUGUUCAGCCGGUCUGCCCAACCAGGGGAUUUCUUUCCUGUUGGUCAAACGGUUGUAACGUACAUUUUCCAGGAUCCGUCCGGGAAUUUCGGCACUGGCACUUUUACAGUCAAUGUGGUGGAAGUCGACACUACUCCACCCGUUGUUACCGUGCCCAAUGGUAUAAUCACCCGGCAAGUUGAGAUCGGUACCUCUGGAAUCAUUGUAUUCUUCUCUGAGCCAACCGCUACUGAUAACUCUGGUACCGCCAUUCUUGAUAGCCGCACCCACCAACCCGGCGACGUCUUCCCUGUUGGUCAGACCAUUGUGACCUACACUUUUAGGGAUCCCGCUGGAAACCCAGCAACUGGAACUUUCACUAUCAAUGUCGUAGAAGUUGACACAACUCCACCAGUCAUCACUGUGCCAACUCCUUCCAUUAUCACACGACAAGUGGAAGUUGGCACUCCAGGUGUCAGCGUAUUUUACCAAGAACCUACCGCUACCGACAACUCUGGCACGGCAAUUCUCGUUUCCCGUACCAACCAACCUGGUGACGUUUUCCCUGUUGGUCAGACCGUUGUGACCUACACUUUCCAGGAUCCAUCCGGAAACCCUGCCUCUGCCACUGUCACUAUCAAUGUUGUAGAAGUCGACACCACGCCACCUGUCAUUUCCGUACCGAGUACCGUCAUCACCCGCACGGUCGAACUUGGCACCCCCGGGGUGAAUGUCUUUUACCCCGAGCCCACCGCCAGCGACAACUCCGGCACCGCCAUUCUUGUGACCCGUACCAACCAACCUGGAGACUUUUUCCCGGUGGGACAAACGGUUGUGACCUAUACUUUCCAGGAUCCCACCGGAAACCCAGCCACUGCGACCGUUACGAUUAACAUUGUUGAAGAGGACACCCAACCCCCUCAAAUCUUUGUGACCACCAACGAAGUCAUUCGCAUGGCUCCAUUCGGUUCUACCGGCAUCAACGUCUUCUAUACCGAACCUGUGGCUGUCGAUUCCUCCGGCACCGCCGAGCUCGUGAGCCGAUCGGCUCAGCCGGGCGAUUUCUUUCCAAUCGGAAACACGGUUGUAACCUAUGUGUAUCAAGACGCCUCUGGCAACCAAGCUACAGGCACUUUCACUGUUACUGUUCGAGAACAAGUCGACACCAUCGCACCUACCAUCACAGUCCCCGGAGGGAACAUUGUACGGACUGUAGAGCUGGGGAUCAGCCGUCUCUCUGUGGACUACCCUGAGCCUACCGCCACUGAUAACUCCGGGACGGCCUUCUUGGUGAGCCGCACUGCCCAGCCUGGUGAUCUCUUCCCCGUCGGGACCACCGACGUGGAGUAUGUCUUUGUUGAUGCUGCUGGCAACGAUGCAAGGGCCACAUUCACCGUGACCGUCAUUGCCAUUGACACCACCCCACCUAUCGUCAACUGUGUCAACAACGUUGUCCAGGAAGUGGAACUUGGUACCACCAGCGCCGUUGUCCAGUUCACCGAGCCAACUGCCUUUGACAUUUCUGGACAGGUUAAUUUGGUGAGCCAGACAGCCGCUCCAGGGGAUGCUUUCCCUCUAGGAACAACCACUGUGACUUAUAUCUUCAGCGAUAAUUCUAAUAACGAAGCUGAUCCCUGUUCAUUCACUGUGACCGUUACAGCAACCGAUAACACACCUCCCACCGUUAACUGCGUCAAUGACGUCACCCAGACGGUUGAGCUUGGUUCGACCAGCACCCAGGUAUUCUUCGCAGAACCUACAGCCUUUGAUAUCUCUGGAUCGGCCAACCUGGUAACACGCACAGCAGCCCCAGGAGACACCUUCCCUGUCGGCACCACGACAGUCACCUACAUCUUCAGUGACGCAGCAGGCAACCAAGCACCGGCUUGCACCUUCAAUGUGAUCAUCAGUACAGUUGACACCACUCCACCAACGGUCAACUGCGUCAGCAACAUCGUGCAGACUGUUGAGCUUGGAGUGACCAGUGUUGUCCUGAACUACGCAGAGCCAACCGCUACAGACAUCUCUGGAACUGCCUUUCUGGUGUCCCGGUCAAGUGCUCCAGGAGAUUCCUUCCCUCUAGGAUCAACCACCGUGACCUAUGUCUUCAGUGACCAGAGUGGCAACAACGCACAACCUUGUGUUUUCACCAUCACUGUCGGAACUGUUGACACCAUGACACCGAUGUUCACGAGUUGCCCAACCAACAUUGUGCAGUCAGUGGAACUUGGUAUACCAGGAACGGUCAUCAGCUGGACCGUGCCCACAGCCAGCGAUGCUGCAGGUAUCGCUUCGAUUGAAAGCAACAUCCAACCUGGCUCCUUCUUCAAUGUCGGAGAGACGGCAACCAUUCUGUACGUUGCGACCGAUAACAGCGGCCUCACUGACAACUCCUGUACAUUCACCGUCACUGUCUUUUCAGUUGACACCAUCCCGCCCACUGUGGUUUGUACCAACAAUAUCUUCCAGACUGUAGAGCUUGGUGCAAACUCUGCAGAGGUUGUGUUCACGGAACCAACAGCCAGUGAUAUCUCCGGCCAGGCCAUCCUCGUGAGCAGGACAGCUGCCUCAGGAGAUUCCUUCCCGAUCGGAACCACAACGGUGACCUACGUCUUUGCGGACAACUCCGGGAACGUCGCAGAAGACUGUUCCUUCACAAUCACUAUCACAGCCCAGGAUACCACCCCGCCAACAGUGAACUGCAUCAAUGACGUCAUCCGCACCGUAGAAUUGGGCACCACCAGUGCUCAGGUGUUCUACAGUGAACCUACAGCAUCUGAUGUUGGCCAGGCUACUCUGAUCUCCAGGACUGCCCAGCCAGGUGAUAGCUUCCCGGUUGGCGCGACCGUGGUUACCUACAUCUUUGGGGACAACGCUGGUAAUAUUGCUGAUCCUUGUGUUUUCACCAUUACUGUGAAUACAGUUGAUACAACGCCGCCAACAGUAAACUGCGUGAGCGAUGUUGUCCGUGUUGUGGAACUUGGAACCACCAGCCUCGCUGUGGUGUACACCGAGCCCACUGCCACCGAUAUCUCCGGCACGGCUUCCCUAGUUUCACGAUCCCAUACCCCUGGACAGAACUUCCCGCUUGGCUCUACUGUGGUUUCCUACUUUUUCACUGAUGCCAGUGGUAACAAUGCUGAAGUGUGUACUUUCACAGUCACCGUCACUACCCAGGAUACUAUUCCACCCACUGUAACCGACUGCCCAUCUAACAUUUUCGAAACUGUCGAACUUGGUACCCCGGGAACUAUCGUGACCUUUAACCCACCUCAAGCGACAGAUGUAUCUGGCAUUGCGUCCAUCGUCUCCAACGUCCAGUCCGGGUCGUUCAUCAGUGCCGGUGAGACCAGGCAGGUCACGUACACCGUCACCGACAACAGCGGACUCACCGACACUUCCUGCACUUUCUCCAUCACCGUCAUCGCUGUUGACACUACUCCACCUACUGUAAACAUACCAACUAGGUCAGUCACUCGUGAGGUUGAACUUGGUCAAAAUGGCAUCAAUGUGUUUUACCCAGAGCCAACAGCAACUGAUAUCUCUGGUGUUGCUAAUCUUGUAUCCCGCACCAACCAACCUGGUGACUUUUUCCCUGUUGGUCAGACCGUUGUGACCUACACUUUCCAGGAUCCUUCUGGAAACCCUGCCAUCGGCUUUCUCACUAUCAAUAUUGUCGAAGUUGACACAACUCCACCGACUAUUUCCGUCCCAAGUAGUACCGUAACCCGCGAAGUUGAACUUGGUCAAACGGGUCUCAACGUCUUUUACCCCGAACCGACUGCUACUGAUAUCUCUGGCACUGCUAAUCUUGUAUCCCGUACCAACCAACCUGGUGACUUUUUCCCUGUUGGUCAGACCGUUGUGACCUACACUUUCCAGGAUCCUUCUGGAAACCCUGCCUCUGGCACUGUCACUAUCAUUGUUACUGAAGUGGACACUACUCCACCUGUUAUCACUGUGCCAAAUAGUGUAAUCACCCAGACCGUGGAACUUGGUCAAUCGGGUACCAAUGUGAAUUACCCUGAACCCAUGGCAACUGAUAUCUCUGGCACUGCAAAUCUUGUAUCCCGGACGAACCAACCUGGUGACUUUUUCCCUGUUGGUCAGACCGUUGUGACCUACACUUUCCAGGAUCCUUCUGGAAACCCUGCCUCUGGCACAGUUACUAUCAAUGUUGUUGAAGUUGACACUACUCCACCAAGUAUUACUGUACCUAGCGAUGUAAUCACCCAGACCGUUGAGCUUGGUCAACCUGGUACUAAUGUCAAUUACCCUGAACCUACUGCAACUGAUAUCUCUGGCACUGCAAAUCUUGUAUCCCAGACAAACCAACCUGGUGACUUUUUCCCUGUUGGUCAGACCGUUGUGACCUACACUUUCCAGGAUCCUUCUGGAAACCCUGCCUCUGGCACUGUCACUAUCAAUGUUGUAGAAGUUGAUACUACUCCACCUACUAUAAAUGUACCAAGUAGUACUGUCACUCGUGAAGUUGAGCUUGGUCAAACGGGUGUCAACGUCUUCUACCCUGAACCUACUGCAACUGAUAUCUCUGGCACUGCUAAUCUUGUAUCACGUACCAACCAACCUGGUGACUUUUUCCCUGUUGGUCAGACCGUUGUGACCUACACUUUCCAGGAUCCAUCCGGAAACCCUGCCUCUGGCACUGUUACUAUCAUUGUUACUGAAGUCGACACUACUCCACCGACUAUUUCUGUACCAAGUAGUACUGUCACUCGUGAAGUUGAACUUGGUCAAACUGGUAUCAACGUCUUUUUCCCUGAACCAACUGCUACUGAUAUCUCUGGCACUGCUAAUCUUGUAUCCCGUACCAACCAACCUGGUGACUUUUUCCCUGUUGGUCAGACCGUUGUGACCUACACUUUCCAGGAUCCUUCUGGAAACCCUGCCUCUGGCACGGUUACUAUCAUUGUUACUGAAGUCGACACCACUCCACCCACUAUUUCUGUUCCAAGUAGUACUGUCACUCGUGAAGUUGAGCUUGGUCAAACUGGUGUCAAUGUCUUCUAUCCUGAACCGACUGCAUCUGAUAUCUCUGGUGUUGCUAAUCUUGUAUCCCGUACCAAUCAACCUGGUGACUUUUUCCCUGUUGGUCAGACCGUUGUGACCUACACUUUCCAGGAUCCUUCUGGAAACCCUGCCUCUGGCACUGUCACUAUCAUUGUUACUGAAGUUGACACUACUCCACCUGUUGUCACUGUACCAAAUAGUGUAAUCACACAGACAGUUGAACUUGGUCAAACGGGUACCACUGUCAAUUACCCUGAACCUACGGCUACUGAUAUCUCUGGCACUGCAAUUCUUGUAUCCCGUACCAACCAACCUGGUGACUCUUUCCCUGUUGGUCAGACCGUUGUUACCUACACUUUCCAGGAUCCUUCUGGAAACCCUGCCUCUGGCACUGUCACUAUCAAUGUUGUAGAAGUUGACACUACUCCACCAACUAUUACUGUACCUAGCGAUGUAAUCACCCAGACUGUUGAGCUUGGUCAACCGGGUACCAAUGUAAAUUACCCUGAACCUACGGCAACUGAUAUCUCUGGUGUUGCUAAUCUUGUUUCUCGGACGAACCAACCUGGUGACUUUUUCCCUGUUGGUCAGACUGUUGUGACCUACACUUUCCAAGAUCCUUCAGGAAACCCUGCCUCUGGCACAGUUACUAUCAAUGUUGUUGAAGUUGACACUACUCCACCAAGUAUUACUGUACCUAGUGAUGUAAUCACCCAGACCGUUGAGCUUGGUCAACCUGGUACCAAUGUUAAUUACCCUGAACCUACUGCAACUGACAUCUCUGGCACUGCAAAUCUUGUAUCCCGUACCAACCAACCUGGUGACUUUUUCCCUGUUGGUCAGACCGUUGUGACCUACACUUUCCAGGAUCCUUCUGGAAACCCUGCCUCUGGCACUGUCACUAUCAAUGUUGUAGAAGUUGAUACUACUCCACCUACUAUAAAUGUACCAAGUAGUACUGUCACUCGUGAAGUUGAGCUUGGUCAAACGGGUGUCAACGUCUUCUACCCCGAACCUACUGCAACUGAUAUCUCUGGCACUGCUAAUCUUGUAUCACGUACCAACCAACCUGGUGACUUUUUCCCUGUUGGUCAGACCGUUGUGACCUACACUUUCCAGGAUCCAUCUGGAAACCCUGCCUCUGGCACCGUCACUGUGAUCGUUACUGAAGUUGACACUACUCCACCGACUAUUUCUGUACCAAGUAGUACUGUCACUCGUGAAGUUGAGCUUGGUCAAACGGGUGUAAACGUCUUUUUCCCUGAACCUACUGCUACUGAUAUCUCUGGCACUGCUAAUCUUGUAUCCCGUACCAACCAACCUGGUGACUUUUUCCCUGUUGGUCAGACCGUUGUGACCUACACUUUCCAGGAUCCUUCCGGAAACCCUGCCUCUGGCACGGUCACUAUCAUUGUUACUGAAGUCGACACUACUCCACCCACUAUUUCUGUACCAAGUAGUACCGUCACUCGUGAAGUUGAACUUGGUCAAACUGGUGUCAAUGUCUUUUUCCCUGAACCUACUGCUACUGAUAUCUCUGGCACUGCUAAUCUUGUAUCCCGUACCAACCAACCUGGUGACUUUUUCCCUGUUGGUCAGACCGUUGUGACCUACACUUUCCAGGAUCCAUCCGGAAACCCUGCCUCUGGCACUGUCACUAUCAUUGUUACUGAAGUUGACACCACUCCACCUGUUGUCACUGUACCAAAUAGUGUAAUCAGCCAGACCGUUGAACUUGGUCAAUCGGGUACCAAUGUCAAUUUCCCUGAACCCACUGCAACUGAUAUCUCUGGCACUGCAAAUCUUGUAUCCCGGACCAACCAACCUGGUGACUUUUUCCCUGUUGGUCAGACCGUUGUGACCUACACUUUCCAGGAUCCUUCUGGAAACCCUGCCUCUGGCUCUGUCACUAUCAUUAUUGUAGAAGUUGACACCACUCCACCAACUAUUACUGUACCCAGCGAUGUUAUCACAGAGACGGUUGAACUUGGUCAACCGGGUACCAAUGUUAAUUACCCUGAACCCAUGGCAACUGAUAUCUCUGGCACUGCAAAUCUUGUAUCCCGUACCAACCAACCUGGUGACUUUUUCCCUGUUGGUCAGACCGUUGUGACCUACACUUUCCAGGACCCCUCUGGAAACCCUGCCUCUGGCACUGUCACUAUCAUUAUUGUAGAAGUUGACACCACUCCACCAACUAUUACUGUACCCAGCGAUGUUAUCACAGAAACGGUUGAACUUGGUCAACCGGGUACCAAUGUUAAUUACCCUGAACCCACUGCAACUGAUAUCUCUGGCACUGCAAAUCUUGUAUCCCGUACCAACCAACCUGGUGACUUUUUCCCUGUUGGUCAGACCGUUGUGACCUACACUUUCCAGGAUCCUUCUGGAAAUCCUGCCUCUGGCACUGUCACUGUCAUCGUUGUUGAAGUCGAUACCAUACCGCCCACAGUGGUAUGUACCAGUAACAUCGUCCAGACCGUAGAGCUUGGCACAGCAGUUGCUCAGGUGUUCUACACUGAGCCAACCGCUUCAGAUGUCUCUGGCGUAGCGGACCUCGUCAGCAGGACCAACAUGCCGGGGGAUUCCUUCCCGGUUGGAACCACCACGGUGACCUACGUCUUUCAGGAUGACUCUGGCAACGUUGCAGAUGAUUGUUCCUUUACGAUCACGGUAACAGCUCAGGAUACCACACCACCCUCUGUUGUCUGCACCAGCAGUAUCACCCGCACCGUCGAGCUCGGAACCACUAGCACCCCGGUGUUCUUCGUCGAACCCACUGCUACGGACAUCUCUGGAACGGCCAACCUGGUGACCAGGACGGCUGCUCCUGGAGACUCCUUCCCCGUCGGCGUCACUUCCGUCACCUACAUCUUUGCGGAUGGCGAAGGCAACCAGGCCGAUCCCUGUGUCUUCACCAUUACCGUUGAAACAGAGGACACAACCCCACCCACCGUCCAGUGCAUUGAUAACAUCUUCCGUAAUGUGGAGCUUGGAACCACCAGUCUGGUGGUCUUCUACUCGGAACCCUCUGCAACGGACAUCUCUGGACAGCCACUCCUGGACUCCCGUACCAACGCCCCAGGAGACUCCUUUCCACUUGGAACCACCACCAUCUCUUACAUCUUCACCGAUCCCAGUGGUAACGAUGCUGCUCCUUGCAUCUUCACCAUCACAAUCACUGCAACCGAUACCACUCCACCCACAGUCACCAACUGCCCCGAGAGCAUCUCUCAGUCGGUGGAGCUGGGUAGCACCGGUACAGUCAUUACCUACACCGCACCUACCGCCAUGGAUCUCUCAGGGAUCGCAUCCAUAAUCCCCAGCAUCCAGUCUGGGACAUUCUUUGCUGUAGGAGAGACCCAACAGGUCACCUACACUGUGACAGAUAACAACGGACUGAUGGAUUCCUCGUGUACUUUCACUGUCACUGUCUUUUCUAUUGACACCACUCCACCUGACGUAACCUGUGCCAUGAACAUCAUCCAAAGCGUGGAGCUUGGAACGCAGUCCGUCCCGAUCACCUACGAGGAACCAACUGCAACGGACAUCUCUGGUGUGGUCAUCUUGACCAGUCAGUCCCACUCUCCUGGAGACCUCUUCCCCGCUGACCAGACCACCACAGUGACCUACAUCUUCACUGAUGGUGCCGGAAACCAGGCCGAUCCCUGUACCUUCACCAUCCAGAUCGUAUCUGAUGACUCUACGCACCCAACUGUCAUCUGUACCAAUGAUGUUGUGCGUGUCGUGGAGCUCGGAACCGCAGGCGUAGAGGUCUUCUACCAGGUUCCCUCGGCCACAGAUAUUUCCGGUACCGAAGAGAUUAUUAGCAACAGCAACAAUCCUGGGGAUUUCUUCCCGGUUGGGGUGACCACGGUGAGCUACCUCUUUGCAGAUGCCUCAGGCAAUGUAGCUCCUGUGUGUACCUUCACCGUUACCGUCAAUACAGUCGAUACCACUCCACCAACCGUCCAGAACUGCCCCGAGGACAUCGUAGUCACCGUUGAGCUCGGAACAGCCUCCACCCCUGUUGUCUGGGCCCUGCCCACCGCUACCGACGUCUCCGGAACUGCUGUCAUCCAGUCCCAGACCAGGGAGCCUGGUGAUGAGUUCAGUGCAAGCACCACCACCACCAUCAACAUUGUCUUUGUUGAUGACUCCAACAAUGUGGCUGAUCCCUGCACUUUCACUGUGACUGUCACCACUGAGGAUACAACUCCACCAACCGUCCAGAACUGCCCAGCGGACAUCAUCCGCACCAUUGAGAUCAACUCUGCUUCUGAGAUCCCCAUCACGUGGAUGCCACCAACGGCCACUGAUAUCUCCGGAACACAGUUCAUCAGCUCUCAGACUGCUAACGUCGGCCAGAACUUCCCCGUCGGUUCCACCGUUGUCACCUACAUCUUCUCCGAUGCCUCCGGGAAUGACGCUGACCCUUGCAGCUUCAACGUCAUCAUCCUAACUGAGGAUACUACCCCACCGACCAUCCUCAACUGCCCCAGCGACAUCACCGAGACCACGCCCCUCAACUCUGGCGGCAAGGUCAUCGUGUUUGUCGCCCCCACGGCCGUGGACAACUCCAACCAGGAGCCGACCGUCACCGUAUCCAACCAACCAAACACUUUCUUCUUCACCGGAGAGACUGUGGUGACCUACACCUUCACCGAUCAGGCCCUGAAUCCAUCCACCUGCUCUUUCACUGUGACCGUCAUCGAGGUUGACACAGAGAAACCAGUCAUUCAGAACUGCCCAUCGGACAUCAAUGUCAACACUCCUCUUGGAACCGCCUUGACCGUAGUCACCUGGCCUGCCUUGACCGUUACUGACAACUCUGGACAGACCUCCGUCCAGUCUCAGACCGCUGCCUCUGGGGAUUCUUUCCCACCAGGAAGGACGGUGGUUACCAUCGUUUACCAGGAUCCAUCAUCAAACACCGAACAGUGUCAAUUCACCGUCAUUGUUACUGAAGUCGACAACACCGAUCCAGAGAUCCUGUCUUGUCCCGAGGACAUCACUUCUGAAGUUCCUGUGGAAGCUUCCGGCGCUACCGUCACCUGGAAUGCCCCAGUGGUCACUGACAACUCCGGUAUCCCGCCAACGGUCACCAGCACCCGUCUACCAGGCACAUUCUUCCUCCGUGGAUCCACCCAGGUUACCUAUACCUUCACCGACAACUCCGGAAACCAGGUGUCCUGUUCCUUUGUUGUGUCUGUCAUCGCUGUUGACGAUGUUCCUCCAGUUGUAGUCUGUCCCGAAAACGUUGUUGAGACUAUCCUCGAGGGAGUUGACAGUGCCUACGUGACCUUCGACCUUCCAACAGUCACCGAUAACAAUGGCGCUACCAACUUUGUGUCAUCGACAGCCAGCAGCGGAGAUCCAUUCCCAGUUGGUACCACCGUUGUGACUUUCACCUACGUUGAUAACAAUAACAACGAAGCUUCGUGCAGUUUCAGCGUCACUGUCUUGACAGACACUCCUUGCUCACCCAACCCCUGUUUCAACGCCGGCGCCUGCAUCGUCAACAGCCUCACGGAGUACCAGUGCGUCUGUACCGAGUGCUUCACCGGCACCAACUGCGAGACCCAGCUGAAUGCUUGCGACAACAACCUCUGCCAGAACGGCGCCGGCUGUGUGGCCUACGAAGGCUCCUGUGACAGCUACUACUGCGAGUGUCCGUCCUGCUUCGUGGGUGUUUACUGUGAUGUCCCUGUGGACGCCUGUGAUAACCAUCAAUGUCAGAACGGAGGUGCUUGCGUCCUGGAUGAUGACACUUGCCUGUCCUACACCUGCUCUUGCCCACUCUGCUACACUGGGGAGUUCUGUCAGACCAAGGUCGAUGCUUGUGACAAUCACCAGUGUCAGAACGGUGCUGCCUGUGAACCUAAAGGAGAGCUGUGUACUGAAUACACCUGUCAGUGCUCAGGGUGCUUCACCGGAGAUCUCUGUGAUGAAGUACGUGAUCCAUGCAACCCAAGCCCAUGUCUGAACAACGCACAAUGUAAUGUCCUUGGCGACAACUGUUACUCGUACACCUGUGAGUGCGUCGGAUGUUUCACUGGCUUCAACUGCGAAGAUCCCAUCCCAUCACCAUGCGACAACAACCCAUGCCAGAAUAAUGGAGUUUGCUCGGUCAUUGCAGGAGUGUGCUCAGGCUACCAGUGCUCUUGCCCUGAAGGAUUCACUGGAGUUAACUGCGAAGAUUCCACCGUCGUGAACACCAAUCCCUGCAACAACUUCCCUUGCAGCAAUGGAGGUACUUGCACCACCAUCGAUUCCGACAACUACAACUGUCUCUGUGUCCCAGGCUAUACUGGAAUCAACUGCCAGACCCCAUCUGCCAACUCUCCGGGCCAGGACAGCUGCAACUCCUCACCUUGCCAGAAUGGAGCCACCUGUGUGAACAGCUAUGAUAGCAGCACUGGAACUGUCUUUUAUCUACCUCAGUACACAUGUAUCUGUGAGACCGGUUUCACUGGACCCAACUGUGGAUCUAGCACUGCUACCAGCCCAUCAUUGGAUGUCUGUUCCACUGGGGUGGAGCCACCCUGUCAGAAUGGAGGUACAUGUACCAACAUGUACCAGAGCUUCUCCCAAGGAAUGGAUUUCUAUUGCAGCUGCCCAAUUGGCUGGACUGGACACACCUGUGAGACACCAUCCAUCAACCCCUGUGCCAGUGGUCCUUGUGAGAAUGGUGGUGUCUGCAUGCCCUUCAACACAUACUUCCAGUGCGAUUGCCCAGAAGGUUUCUUUGGUACUACCUGCGAGGUUGCUCAGGGUGACACUGAACCACCAACCAUCUCGGACUGUCCUGAGGACAUCACUCGUACCAUCUCAUCCUCAAGUGGUAUCUCAGUUACAUGGGUAGAGCCAACAGCUACAGAUGCUGGCACCACCCAACGUCUCCUUCGCUCUCACACACCCGGAUCUUUCUUCCCUCUCGGAGACACUGCCGUCAGUUACGUCUUCACUGAUAACAGUGCCAACCUAGCAACCUGUACUUUCUACAUCACUGUCACACUGGCUGAGACGGACAACGUCCCUCCCGUUAUCCAGAACUGUCCAUCUCCCUCCGUCGCCCAGGCCCCUGCAGGUAGCACAUCCGCGGAGGUCUCCUGGAUUGUACCUUCAGCUACUGAUAACAGUGGAAUCGCUGUUACCGUCUCUAACAAUUACAACCCAGGCGACACCUUCCCGGUGGGCGAAACUGUUGUUGCCUACACCUUCACUGAUGAUGCAGGAAACCAGAAUACCUGCACUUUCUCCGUCAGAGUUGUUGUCGAAGUGGUCAACCAAUCACCAACCAUCACCUUCUGUCCCUCUGGUACCCUCACCUACUCAACCCUCGGUGCCGACAGCGUCGUCGUCAACUUCCCUGCACCAACAGCCGUAGACGAUUCUGGUUUCACACCAUCAGUCAACUCCAACUUCGUCCCUGGACAGUCCUUUGAUGUUGGCUCUUACACUGUGACUUAUACAUUCACCGAUAACAUUGGCUUGACCAGCGACUGCACCUUCAACAUCUUAGUUGUUUCUGGAGGCGAUGUAAGGCCACCAACCAUCUCAGACUGCCCUGAUGGUGCCAUCACCGCCCUCGCCGGAACUGGAGCCUCCGGCGCUUCGGUCAGCUGGACUGCCCCUACUGCUACCGACGUUUCUGGCCCAGUAACCUCCACCAGCAACUACAGCCCGGGUGCUUUCUUCCCAGUCGGUACCACGACGGUCACCUAUACCUUCACUGACCAAGUUGGCAACGAGGCUCGAUGCGUCUUCAAUGUCAUUGUGACAGGAACCAACGUCAACGAGACCCCGGCCCCAACCAACCUGGUCCUUGCCACCACCACCAACACCAUCACUGCCACCUGGACACCGCCCAACGGUGCCUUCAACAGCUACCAGCUCACCAUCAGCGGCGGUUCCAUUGUCAACACCCAGACCCUACCGCAAGCAUCCAGCUCUUAUACAGCCACCGGCCUGGAGCCUGCCACCACAUACGUCGUGACCCUGGUGGCCAAUGGUAACGCAGGUCCCAGCAACAGCAUCUCUGAAACUGCUACCACCAACCCAGAGCAAGGUCAACCACCCUCGUCACCCUCCAACGUCAACCUCGCCCCCAGCCAGACUUCCAUCACCGUUUCCUUCGAUGCUGCCUCUGGUGAUGUCACUGGCUACAACGUCGGCCUUGGUACCACGUCCAACGCAGACGAUGUGACAACGACCCUGGCCCCGGGCUCUACAACUUACACCUUUGGAAACCUUUCUCCUUCGACGCAAUACUUCGUCUCAGUCCAGGCUUUCAAUGGGUUUGGCUCAAGUCCAUCUGUUGUGCAGUCUGCAACAACAUCUGAUGUUGUCGUACCAGACACUGACAUUGUCAUCACCAACUGCCCUGUAAGCAUUGCUGCAUCCCUGCCCUUUGGAACCUAUGCUUUUGUGGACUGGGAAGAUCCAGUGGCCACCUCGCCCCUUGGUGCCGUGGACCAGACUGGCGGACCAUUCAGCUCCUCUGGUUACUUCCAGACCGGUACCUUUCCUAUCGUUUACGAGUUCCAGGAUGUCAAUGGCAACACCGCCACUUGCUCAUUCAAUGUUUAUGUUACUGAUGGCAGUGACACUACUCCCCCAGAGGUGACCUUCUGUCCCAGCAACGUUGUGGUCCAGGCUGCCUCAGGCGAGAGCAGUGCUGUAGUCACCUGGAAUGUUCCCACCGCGACCGAUGCCUCUGAACCCAUAACUUCAGUCAGCAACUACUCCCCUGGUGACUCCUUUGAUGUAGGCACCUACCUAGUUGUCUAUAACCUCAUUGAUAACGCUGGUUUAUACUCGACUUGCAGCUUUGAGGUUACUGUGACGGCAAGUGGAGUUAUCACUGAUACCGAAGACCCUGUACUGACCAACUGCCCAACUGAUAUCGUGAACAAUGCCAACCCUGGUAGCUCCUCCCUGGUGGUGUCCUGGAUAGCUCCGGAGGCCACGGACAACUCUGGCUCUGUUACCGUGACGGUCAGUACCCCGUCAGGUAGCACUUUCCCCGUCGGAACCACACAGGUCACGUACACCGCAACUGACGCCGCUGGAAACACUGAUUCCUGCAGCUUCGACAUCACUGUCCUGUCUGCUGAAGACAACACACCGCCAGUCCUGUCCAACUGCCCUUCAGACAUGACCGUCUUUGCGGCACAGAACGCCCAAGGUGCAGUAGCGGGAUGGUCAUCGCCAUCUGCCACUGACAACUCUGGGGAGAACGUGGCCAUCACCAGUGACUUUACCUCUGGAACCCUGUUCCCCAUCGGAGCCACCCUCGUGACCAUCACAGCCACAGACAGCUCUGGCAAUAUCGACACCUGUUCAUUCACAGUCACAGUCAUAGGUGCUACUGACAAUAUCGGCCCAGUCACCUCUAACUGCCCCGCAUCCCAGACGAUCACGGCCGCAGUUGGAUCCACCUCUGCUGUUGCAACCUGGACCGACCCUACCUUUACAGACAGCUCCGGCGUUGCCUCCGUCACCAGCAACUUCAACUCUGGCUCUUCCUUCCCCAUCGGUACUACCAUCGUCACUUACACCGCCACUGAUACCUUGGGUAACACCGGAGAGUGUUCUUUCAGCAUCAACGUCAUUGCUGGAACUGAUGGCACUCGACCAACCUUCAUCAACUGCCCGAGCAACAUGGAAGUAUCUGUCCCCUUCGGCAGCAGCGGAACAACCGUCACCUGGACCGAACCCACCGCUCUAGACAACAGCGGUUCAGCCACUGUGGUUGCUUCACAGACGUCUGGUACUUUCUUCAGUGUAGGGGCCACCAACGUGGUCUACACAGCCACCGAUCCUAGUGGAAAUUUCGAAACUUGCUCUUUCGUUGUAACUGUCACAGAAUUAGCACCUGUGGACGUGACCCCGCCAGAACUCCAGAACUGCCCCACCGGAAUCAGCGCCACCGUCAACCCUGGCUCAUCGUUCGCCGUCGUCACCUGGACGCCUCCCACUGCGACCGACAACCUCGGAACCCCGGUGGUCACGAGCAACUUCCCAUCAGGCUCCUCCUUCCCAAUCGGCACCACGACGGUCACCUACACCGCGGUUGACGGAAACGGUAACGACGCCUCCUGCAGCUUCGACGUGGUUGUCACAAAUGGUGCCACGAACGCAGCACCUGUUGUCACCUUCUGCCCCAACAAUGGAGCUGUUUACUUCACCGCACCAGAAGGCAGCAGUGUCAACGUUAACUUUCCUCCGCCCACGGCCACCGAUGAUUCUGGAUCCGUCACGACGACCUCCACCAAUGAACCGGGAGAUGAGUUUGCCCUAGGAGAGCACACCGUCACUUACACCUUCAGCGAUGCCCAAGGACUCACUGCAAGCUGUACCUUCUCUUUUGAAGUACAAGUUGGUGCUAACCCAUGUUCCAGUAACCCCUGUUCUCCCAGUGAGCAGUGUUUCUACAUCCCAAGUCAAUACCUCUGUAUCAACAACGGAAGGAGAAGGAGAGAAGCUGAGAUGCUUGACUUGAGCGAUGUGUGCCCAUGUGAGAAUGGUGGAAUCUGUCUCCUAGACGACGCUACAUCCUCUGCCACUUGUGAGUGUCCCGUUGGCUACACUGGUGUACUUUGUGAGAUUGACACGCUACCUGCUGCCAAUGUCAACGUCCACAACACCAACAGGUACCACGACAGUGAGAUCCAGGAAUGGUCUAGUGGAAACAGCGCCCUCUUGUGGACCGUAAUCAUCUGCAUGGCGAUUAUGCUCGUCGUCAUCAUCUCUUUGUCUGCGUUGCUUUGUUACGUUGUGCCUCGCCUCGUCACGAUCCGCCAACAUCGAAGCAAGAUAGACGAAAUCCCAAUUAUGCAAUGAAUGGAAUACUGCAAGCAAGACUUUAAUUUGCAUGUACUAUAACUUGAAUGUAUUCAUGUAUAUCGUAGAUUCUAUCGCCUAUUUUUUUGUGUCAAAUUAUUAGAAUCUGAAUUUUGUGAUGCACAUAUUCUUGUAAAAUCCUAUACAGAUUGUGUAUGUUCAUUUAUCAAAGUACUAGAUCUGACUAUUGCGAUGCACAUGUGUUUGUGAAAUUCUUUGCAAACCAUGAAUGCAUUUCACCUGUUGUUUCAUGAUUUCUUCAAAAUGGAAGUCUUGCGGCAGUAUUGUAAUGAUUAUUUCAAGUCUUUCUAACCAUGCUGUAUUGUGCUAUUCUCGUUUGUAAAUAUAUUAUUUGUGUGUAUAGUCAACCCCAAUCCAAACCUAUUAUGCAAACCUAGCAGUAGAUUUUAACAAGAUGUCUUUAGGUAAUCUUUUCAUUGUGCAAAAAAUGUGCUUUAUUUAAUCCGUUUAAUCCAUUGUUGAUAAGCCAAUGAUAUUAUACCAACCCCCCAUGUUUAAUUGAAGAAUUUAUUCUCUCCCACCGCGGUGAAUGUUUGCGUGUUCUUCCCAAAAUUUGGUACCGUGUAUUACCUUGACUUUUGCUGAAAACUUGUGUGCACUUCCAGGCGCAGAUCUAGCUGAAUUAGAAACAGAACCAUUUCAGGGGUCAUAUUUUGUUUGCACAAUAUGCUCGGCUUCAAAAUUUAUUAGUCCAAUCCAGCUGGAUCCGUGCCUGCAUUCUUAGAUCUACUUUGAUGGCUUCAAUGAUUGCCAACUGCCAAAUAAGGCUAUGAUUUGGUUGUUUUUUGGGGGGGAGAGCUCUAUGUUUAGAAGUGUUUUGGAUAUUAUUUUGCUUCAGGUAUUCUAAAAGCAAUGUCGUAGGGUGUGCUUCCCUGACUGCUGUAUUGAGUUUACUCUUCGUUUACAAGUAUUUCAAUAUCAAAGCAUUUCAGAAAUGCCAAAUAUAUCAUGUUUUAUUGCAUUCAUUUCUUUAUAUAUAAAUAUAUAUUGCAGAAUUUUAUCUUGAAUUACAGUAACUUUUUCAUGAAUUCUGUUGUUUUUAUAUAUGUUAUUUUAUCUUAAUUACAAAAUAACGGUUGCAUAGAAAAUGAAUUUAGCGACUUGUGUCUGUUUUCGUGAUGUUAUAGAUUUGAGUUUUGAAAAUAUCUCAAUUUUUGUAAUUGAAUUAAAAGUGGCCUGAUUGCA